UCACUGCCGAGGAGUCCCACAAUAGGACGAAACGGCCGUCCAGUGC
This is a non-coding RNA of Schistosoma mattheei, 46 nucleotides long. NCBI's taxonomy places the organism in Eukaryota, Metazoa, Platyhelminthes, Trematoda, Strigeidida, Schistosomatidae. The record is from Rfam.